This 460-nucleotide ribosomal RNA is filed under the name uncultured bacterium. Its description in RNAcentral is "partial 16S ribosomal RNA". It matches the Rfam family "Bacterial small subunit ribosomal RNA", at positions 338 to 795 of the family's 1533-position model. The record is from RNAcentral.
CCUACGGGGAGCAGCAGUGAGGAAUAUUGGUCAAUGGACGAGAGUCUGAACCAGCCAAGUAGCGUGAAGGAUGACUGCCCUAUGGGUUGUAAACUUCUUUUAUCUGGGAAUCAAACGUUCCACGUGUGGGAUUUUGUAUGUACCAUAUGAAUAAGGAUCGGCUAACUCCGUGCCAGCAGCCGCGGUAAUACGGAGGAUCCGAGCGUUAUCCGGAUUUAUUGGGUUUAAAGGGAGCGUAGGUGGAUUGUUAAGUCAGUUGUGAAAGUUUGUGGCUCAACCGUAAAAUUGCAGUUGAAACUGGCAGUCUUGAGUACAGUAGAGGUGGGCGGAAUUCGUGGUGUAGCGGUGAAAUGCUUAGAUAUCACGAAGAACUCCGAUUGCGAAGGCAGUUCACUGGACUGCAACUGACACUGAGGCUCGAAAGUGUGGGUAUCAAACAGGAUUAGAUACCCCUGUAGUC